UACGUAGGGUGCGAGCGUUAAUCGGAAUUACUGGGCGUAAAGCGUGCGCAGGCGGUUGUGCAAGACAGAUGUGAAAUCCCCGGGCUUAACCUGGGAACUGCAUUUGUGACUGCACGGCUAGAGUGCGGCAGAGGGGAGUGGAAUUCCGCGUGUAGCAGUGAAAUGCGUAGAUAUGCGGAGGAACACCGAUGGCGAAGGCAGCUCCCUGGGCCUGCACUGACGCUCAUGCACGAAAGCGUGGGGAGCAAACAGGAUUAGAUACCCCCGUAGUCC
Molecule: ribosomal RNA, 273 nt
Filed under: uncultured bacterium
Lineage: Bacteria
Description: partial 16S ribosomal RNA
Rfam family: Bacterial small subunit ribosomal RNA
Source: RNAcentral